RNAcentral lists this ribosomal RNA (253 nucleotides) under uncultured microorganism. RNAcentral's name for it is "partial 16S ribosomal RNA". It matches the Rfam family "Bacterial small subunit ribosomal RNA", at positions 524 to 776 of the family's 1533-position model. The record is from RNAcentral.
UACGUAGGUCCCGAGCGUUAAUCGGAUUUACUGGGCGUAAAGCGUGCGCAGGCGGCCCGUUAAGACAGGUGUGAAAUCCCUGGGCUCAACCUGGGAACCGCAUUUCGAACUGGCAAACUAGAGUCUUGUAGAGGGGGGUAGAAUUCCAGGUGUAGCGGUGAAAUGCGUAGAGAUCUGGAGGAACACCGAUGGCGAAGGCAGCCCCCUGGGCCUGUACUGACGCUCAUGCACGAAAGCGUGGGGAGCAAACAGG